GCCGCGGGAAUACGUAGGGUGCGAGCGUUAAUCGGAAUUACUGGGCGUAAAGCGUGUGCAGGCGGUUUGUUAAGGCAGAUGUGAAAUCCCCGGGCUCAACCUGGGAACUGCAUUUGUGACUGGCAAGCUAGAGUGUGGCAGAGGGGGGUGGAAUUCCGCGUGUAGCAGUGAAAUGCGUAGAUAUGCGGAGGAACACCGAUGGCGAAGGCAGCCCCCUGGGCCAACACUGACGCUCAUGCACGAAAGCGUGGGGAGCAAACAGGAUUAGAUACCCCCGUAGUCCCUGUCUCUUAUACACAUU
RNAcentral lists this ribosomal RNA (301 nucleotides) under uncultured bacterium. Its description in RNAcentral is "partial 16S ribosomal RNA". It matches the Rfam family "Bacterial small subunit ribosomal RNA", at positions 514 to 817 of the family's 1533-position model. The record is from RNAcentral.